GUGAGGAAUUUUCCGCAAUGGGCGAAAGCCUGACGGAGCAAUGCCGCGUGAAGGAUGAAUGCCUAUGGGUUGUAAACUUCUUUUCUCAGAAAAGAAUUAUGACGGUAUCUGAGGAAUAAGCAUCGGCUAACUCUGUGCCAGCAGCCGCGGUAAGACAGAGGAUGCAAGCGUUAUCCGGAAUGAUUGGGCGUAAAGCGUCUGUAGGUUGUUUAAAAAGUAUUCUGUCAAAGAUUAGGGCUUAACCCUAGAUAGGCAGAAUAAACUUUUAAGCUAGAGUUUGGUAGAGGCAGAGGGAAUUCCCGGUGGAGCGGUGAAAUGCGUAGAUAUCGGGAGGAACACCAAAGGCGAAGGCACUCUGCUGGGCCAAUACUAACACUGAGAGACGAAAGCGAGGGGAGCAAAUGGGAUUAGAAACCCUAGUAGUCC
This 426-nucleotide ribosomal RNA is filed under the name uncultured bacterium. RNAcentral's name for it is "partial 16S ribosomal RNA". It matches the Rfam family "Bacterial small subunit ribosomal RNA", at positions 354 to 796 of the family's 1533-position model. The record is from RNAcentral.